UGUACGCAACCUUCCUUUAACUGGAGAAUAGCCCAUCGAAAGAUGGAUUAAUACUCCGUAACAUAAUGAAGUGGCAUCACUUUAUUAUUAUAGCUCCGGCGGUUAAAGAUGGGCGUGCACCUGAUUAGAUAGUUGGCGGGGUAAUGGCCCACCAAGUCUGCGAUCAGUAACUGGUGUGAGAGCACGACCAGUCACACGGGCACUGAGACACGGGUCCG
Molecule: ribosomal RNA, 218 nt
Filed under: uncultured bacterium
Lineage: Bacteria
Description: partial 16S ribosomal RNA
Rfam family: Bacterial small subunit ribosomal RNA
Source: RNAcentral